UUUUGAAUGAAUGAAUUAUGGAACAUUGUCUUCUAUUUUUUAUUGGCUCUGAUAAUGUAUAUGAUUUGCUUAGUCCUUGAUACUCUUACCUUUGGCACCUGAUACUAUGAUGAAUUUUAAGUCUAAACUGGAAGUCAGACUCAUAUCUGAAGGCUGAUUACUGGCCUGUGUUAAUUAAAGAGUCAUUAAGCAUUUAUCAAAAAAUGCUUUAUUUUUCUACCAUGACUAAUUCAGAUAUAGAAAAUAUUAAGUAUCAAAAAGGCAACUUUUUUUAGAGUCAGUGAUGAAUAAUAGGCUUAUUUUCUUCACCUCCAAGUAUGUACUAUUGAAUUGGCAAAUCCAUGUAACAUAAACCUAUUAUAUACUUUUCUCUGCAAGGCCUUAGAUUUUAGUGAUGAUGAAAAAGAGAAAGAAGCCAAACAGAGGAAAAAAUCCCAGAUUCAAGGCCGGAAAAAACUCAAAUCUGAAUUUAAUGAGCCAGGUGAAGAUUUUACUGAAGUACAUCAGAAUUGGAAUGCUCAUAGCUCUGCUUCAGAGCAUGCAAAAGGAUAUCGUAACAGAGAAUUCACACGAGGAUUUUCCAGGGCCAGAUACCCUCGAUCUUGCCAUGGCAGGCCUCCACCUCAGCAUUUCUAUAACUCAGAACAUAUGGUAUCUCAGGAGACUUCAGGAUUUCCUUCUCAGAGACAAGAAAAUCCCAUUAUGCCACA
Molecule: small RNA, 710 nt
Filed under: Pongo abelii (Sumatran orangutan)
Lineage: Eukaryota; Metazoa; Chordata; Mammalia; Primates; Hominidae
Description: retained intron
Source: RNAcentral